RNAcentral lists this ribosomal RNA (427 nucleotides) under uncultured bacterium. RNAcentral's name for it is "partial 16S ribosomal RNA". It matches the Rfam family "Bacterial small subunit ribosomal RNA", at positions 355 to 774 of the family's 1533-position model. The record is from RNAcentral.
UGGGGAAUAUUGCACAAUGGGCGCAAGCCUGAUGCAGCCAUGCCACGUGUGUGAAGAAGGCCUUCGGGUUGUAAAGCACUUUCAGCGAGGAGGAAGGGUAGUGUGUUAAUAGCACAUUGCAUUGACGUUACUCGCAGAAGAAGCACCGGCUAACUCCGUGCCAGCAGCCGCGGUAAUACGGAGGGUGCAAGCGUUAAUCGGAAUUACUGGGCGUAAAGCGCACGCAGGCGGUUUGUUAAGUCAGAUGUGAAAUCCCCGCGCUUAACGUGGGAACUGCAUUUGAAACUGGCAAGCUAGAGUCUUGUAGAGGGGGGUAGAAUUCCAGGUGUAGCGGUGAAAUGCGUAGAGAUCUGGAGGAAUACCGGUGGCGAAGGCGGCCCCCUGGACAAAGACUGACGCUCAGGUGCGAAAGCGUGGGGAGCAAACA